This 230-nucleotide long non-coding RNA is filed under the name Setaria italica (foxtail millet). RNAcentral's name for it is "long non-coding RNA (SITA_LNC000951)". The record is from RNAcentral. Lineage: Eukaryota; Viridiplantae; Streptophyta; Magnoliopsida; Poales; Poaceae.
ACGCAUUUCGCCGGCUCUUCCACGUUCACAUUUCACUACGAGAGUGAUAAAUAAGUACGGUAAUGGAGGCCUGUGUCACUGUGGGUUUGAUUCAAAGCAUGCACAAGAAAACGUGGUGUCGUGCGUCCGUGCGCAUGAAUAUAUGUUCAAGCGUCAAAACCUUGUGCAUGGAAAAUCAAGCACACGUGCAGUGCAUGCAUCAUCUUUCCUGAAGAUCGAGGGAGUGUGAU